Molecule: long non-coding RNA, 2186 nt
Organism: Otolemur garnettii (small-eared galago)
Lineage: Eukaryota; Metazoa; Chordata; Mammalia; Primates; Galagidae
Exons: 6
Source: RefSeq, a predicted model, not a curated record
AAGGUAUUGCUCUGCAAUAUUUACCCUCUUUCUCAAUAAACAGGACAGAAUGGUUAAAAAAGAGAUAAGAGUGUGCCAACAAACUCGGGCCCUUCUGUGCAAGAGUUUUCUUACAAAAUGGAGAACAAAAAGAGAGAGCUUAUUGAACUCUUUAGGGCUAUCUCCCCUUUCCUGAACAACCUCCUUAUGUCCUGAGAAGUGUGGAUCAGUUUAACAACUCUGACACAGUGGUGGCAUAUACGCCAGUGACCAACAUGACACAGAGGAUAGUGGACAGGGUGGCCUUGGCUUCCUUUAUGAAAGAUUUUCAAAAGCAACGAUGUUUUGGCUCUAUGAUAUUGGAUCACAGUUGUACAACUAUAACCCUCAUCACACCUCUCACUUCUUUGGAGUUUCAUGUUUCUUAGCACUAUGGUAUUCUGAUUUUUAAAAACAACAUAUUCACUCUGGAAGGCUGAGGGUCUCCUGGGGAUUGAGGUAUGCUGGCUUUAUCUUUUUUUGUGUUCAUUUUUAUGGCUUUGAUCAUUACAUUGACGCCAAUUAUGGUUCAUACUGGCUUCCUGGUGAUAUUCACACUCUUUAGCCUACACGGCCUGUCUUUGAUUGGCUUUCCUGAUAAGCAUGUUAAUAAAAAAACCCUCUGUUCACUGGUUUGGCUGGAUUUCUCUUCACUGUAUUUUGAGGAUGUCUGGGGUUCACUGUAUUACACAGACAACUUCCAUUACCUUUGGAAUGGCUAUUUGGUCUUCUUAGCUCUGUUGCCUUCUCUGCUGGAAUGGCUCAGGUCUCAAUGUUUAUAUUUGUUGUCCUGCUGUCAACUCAAUAUGGGAAGCUCAACACAAUAUGACAAAAUCAAUGGCUAGAAAUAAAAUAGGUAACACUUAUACUUAAUUUUACACUAAUAUAAAUUAAUCAAGUGGAUACCUCCACUUGAGGUAGGUAAAAGAGUAUCAGAAGGAAAGCUCUGUAACAGGGAAAAGUAUGCUACAGAUAACCCCUAAGUAUGGCUAAAACAAAAUUAUACUUCAUGUUCAUUAUCCAAGACUUGGACUGAUUAAUUUCUUAUUAACUUAAAAACCUUUAUGUUUUUGCAUCCCCAUCUGGGGUCAGAAAUUAGGUCCCAACUGAAUAGUGUGAUUGUUGAGACUCCCAUAUCUCUAGUCAAGGACACAGGACCUAAGUCUUGGGUCUGGUUCACCUUGGAAGAGGAGGUAAAAUAACAGGAACUAAUCAAUUGAAACUGGGUGAGGGGCCGUCUACCUGUUGUGCUUAGAAAAGUCUUGUUUCCACUCUUCCCACCCAGAGAGGAACCAUAAGCACUGAUAAUUAACCAUCGUCUCAUUACCUCCUGCUGCCAGGAUAUGUAUGUCUGUCCUUCAUCCCUGAUGCACUUUAAUCAUGUUGUACUAGCCACUAAGUCAUGAAGGACUACUUUGCUAGCUACAUGGCAUCUGUUAGUUUUUUUGGCUGCAAGAGAUAGACAUUAAAUCAGGCGUUCAAGAAUGGAGCUUUUAGAGUAAGGAUGCACAUGGUAAGAAAAGAAACAAGAAUCAGGAGCAGAGAUGAUUUUAGGAUUUACUCAGCCAUUAUCUACUCUAAAAGGAUGAUCUAGAAACACUCGAUCAAUUAUCAAUUAGAUAAUGAAAAAUGUUAUCAUCUCUAUCCAUCUUAUGAAUUUUGCUCCCAGGAGAUGAUAGUUCUGGUGGAAGCAUAGCUCACGUGUCAUCACUGACUUCUAAAUGCUUCCCACAUGGAGUGUUUGUAGCAGAACAGUGAAAAAUGCUGAUUGGAUGAAUAUAGAAGCAAAUGCAUCAGAAAAUAUAGCAGGAUUAUGAUAGAUUGGAUUAAAAAGUGUUAAUUGCUGCAAAUAAAACUAGUGAGUAUUUGUUUCCCAGAAAUUCUGUGUCUCUAUUUGUUUAAUUUUUCAAUUGAGGUAAAAGAUGUAUCAUAUAAAAUUUGCUUGAAAUGAACCAGAUACAAAAGGACAAAUACUAUAUGAUUAUACUCAAAGGAAAUAUCUAGAAUAGGCACAUUCUAGGAUAGAAAGAGAUGAAACAUUCCUAGGGGCUGAGGAGAGGGGAGAAUGGGAGUUAUUGCUUCUUGGUUACAGAAUUCCUGUUUGAGGUGAUGAAAAAUUUUAGAACUAGAUAAUGAUAAUAGUUACACAAUAUUGUGGAUAUAAUUAA